UUAGGGUUCGAUUUCGGAGAGGGAGCAUGAGAAACGGCUACCACAUCUAAGGAAGGCAGCAGGCGCGUAAAUUACCCAAUCCUGACUCAGGGAGGUAGUGACAAGAAAUAGCAAACCGGGAACCUCAUGGUUUCACGGUAUUGCAAUGAGAACAAUUUAAAACCCUUAGCGAGAAUCAAGUGGAGGACAAGUCUGGUGCCAGCACCCGCGGUAAUUCCAGCUCCACUAGCGUAUAUUAAAGUUGUUGCAGUUAAAAAGCUCGUAGUUGAACCUCUGUCUGGGGCUAGUUUUGGCUUUGGUCAGGCUAGUUCUAGGCAUCCGCCUACAAGACUUAGAGGGCAUUCAGUUGUUCACUAGGAGGAGUAGGCAUUUUACUUUGAAAAAAUUAGAGUGUUUAAGGCAGGCAAUCGCCCGCAUAUAUUAGCAUGGAAUAAUAGAAUAGGACACUUUUCCAUUUCGUUGGUUAUUGGAAUCGUGUAAUGAUUAAUAGGGACAGUUGUGGGCAUUUGUAUUUAAUUGCCAGAGGUGAAAUUCUUGGAUUUAUUAAAGACAAACUAACGCGAAAGCAUUUGCCAAGGAUGUUUUCAUUAAUCAAGAACGAAAGUUAGGGGAUCAAAGACGAUCAGAUACCGUCCUAGUCUUAACUAUAAACUAUUCCGACUCAAUGUUUGACUGGCUUAUAUAACCAGUUGAGCGUUGUAUGAGAAAUCAAAGUCUUUAGGUUCUGGGGGGAGUAUGGUUGCAAAGCUGAAACUUAAAGGAAUUGACGGAAGAGCACAACCAGGAGUGGAUUCUGCGGCUUAAUUUGACUCAACACGGGGAAACUUACCAGGUUAAAACAAUAGUGGGAUUGACAGUUUGAGAGCGCUUUCUUGAUUGGUUGGGUGGUGGUGCAUGGCCGUUCUUAGUUGGUGGAGUGAUUUGUCUGCUUAAUUGCGUUAACGAACGAGACCUUAACCUGCUUACUAGACUGGCGAUCAUCAAUCGUUAGCUCUUCUUAGAGGGACUUUGGUUGUUUUAACUCCAAGGAAGUUUGAGGCAAUAACAGGUCUGUGAUGCCCUUAGAUAUCCUGGGCCGCACGCGUCAUACAAUGACUAGUUCAGAAAGUUUUCUCCUGACCCGAAAGGGGAUGGGUAAUCUUGAUAAUACUAGUCGUGUUAGGGAUCGAUCUUUGCAAUUAUAGAUCUUGAACGAGGAAUUCCUAGUAAGUGCGGUUCAUCAGACCGUACUGAUUACGUCCCUGCUCUUUGUACACACCGCCCGUCGCUUCUACCGAGUGGGUGGUCCGGUGAGAUAAUUGAACUUCGCAGGUAACUGAGAGGAAAGAUUAUCAAACCUAUCCACCUCGAGGAAGAAGAAGUCGUAACAAGGUU
Molecule: ribosomal RNA, 1374 nt
Filed under: metagenome
Description: SSU rRNA
Rfam family: Eukaryotic small subunit ribosomal RNA
Source: RNAcentral